CUCAAACAAGAAUGUGUCCUCAGUACACGAAUGCCCCACUCGCACUAUCAUUUUCCAUGUUCAGUGGACCGUGAAAUUGGGGUAAAAACUCUAAUUUGGCAUUAAAAUUAGAAAGAUCAUAUCAUAGGGGACAUGUGUACUAAGUUUGAAGUCGAUUGGACUUAAACUUCAUCAAAAACUACCUUGACCAAAAACUUUAACCUGAAGCGGGACAGACGGACGAACGGACGGACGAACGAACGGACAGACGGACGACGGACGGACAGACCAGAAAACAUAAUGCCCCUCUACUAUCGUAGGUGGGGCAUAAAAAUGUUUGAAGAAAUUUUCUUUUUUAUUUAUGAAAUUUCAAAUGAGA
RNAcentral lists this long non-coding RNA (358 nucleotides) under Mytilus galloprovincialis (Mediterranean mussel). The record is from RNAcentral. Lineage: Eukaryota; Metazoa; Mollusca; Bivalvia; Mytilida; Mytilidae.